Molecule: long non-coding RNA, 692 nt
Organism: Macrobrachium nipponense
Lineage: Eukaryota; Metazoa; Arthropoda; Malacostraca; Decapoda; Palaemonidae
Exons: 3
Source: RefSeq, a predicted model, not a curated record
UUUUUCUGAAGCCCUAAUUUUCUCAUUCUAACCGGAAGAACAAGCUUAAUGAGCAAGAAAUAAAGAUGCUUGUUCAGUCUAGUGCCUUGCUGGAAGUGUUUGUUGGAUCACUUACAUCUUUAAGGCCAUUCUUUAAAAAUGUUAUGCAUGUGGCUUUGGGUAGAAUUAUUGUAUGUCUUCAGAGUACUUCAGUUUACCCAGAUGUAAAGGUUAUACUUGAGAAUAUUAUCUACCAUUUACUGGAUAUAUGCAGUCGUCACAGUUUUAACCAUCUCAGUGUGACCCUUCCCUCCACAAGUGCAACAUUGCUCAAGCAUCUCUACAAGAAUUAUGAGAACUUUUAUAGAUAUCACUCCCAUGUAAGAAAGGGAAAACUUUAACUUAUAUAUACCAUGUACUCAAUUGGAUUUUAUGUACCAUGCAGAUAUUUUAUCAUCAUUCUUGAUAAUCAUACUCAAAUUUUAAGGGUCCUAUUUUACUUUAUUGUUCUACUAAAAUUUUAAAAGUCCUGUUUUACUUUGUUGUUCUGCCACUUCCUUUUAUCAUGGGCUUUGUUUAUUUUAGGUGUCAUUUUUUUUUAUUAAAAAUGUUGCAAUUCAAAACUUGUAAUUUUCUGGAGCAUUGUAAAAUCCACAUGGAUGGUGAGAAAUAUUCGCCUAGGCCUUGACUUCUGUAAUAAAAACAAGAACAAA